This 476-nucleotide ribosomal RNA is filed under the name uncultured organism. RNAcentral's name for it is "partial 16S ribosomal RNA". It matches the Rfam family "Bacterial small subunit ribosomal RNA", at positions 332 to 799 of the family's 1533-position model. The record is from RNAcentral.
UACACUCCUACGGGAGGCAGCAGUGGGGAAUUUUGGCCAAUGGGCGAAAGCCUGAUCCAGCAAUGCCGCGUGCAGGAUGAAGGCCUUCGGGUUGUAAACUGCUUUUGUACGGAACGAAAAAGCUCCUUCUAAUACAGGGGGCCCAUGACGGUACCGUAAGAAUAAGCACCGGCUAACUACGUGCCAGCAGCCGCGGUAAUACGUAGGGUGCGAGCGUUAAUCGGAAUUACUGGGCGUAAAGCGUGCGCAGGCGGUUAUGUAAGACAGAUGUGAAAUCCCCGGGCUCAACCUGGGAACUGCAUUUGUGACUGCAUGGCUAGAGUACGGUAGAGGGGGAUGGAAUUCCGCGUGUAGCAGUGAAAUGCGUAGAUAUGCGGAGGAACACCGAUGGCGAAGGCAAUCCCCUGGACCUGUACUGACGCUCAUGCACGAAAGCGUGGGGAGCAAACAGGAUUAGAUACCCUGGUAGUCCCAUG